AGUGAACGCUGGCGGUAGGCCUAACACAUGCAAGUCGAACGGCAGCACAGUAAGAGCUUGCUCUUACGGGUGGCGAGUGGCGGACGGGUGAGGAAUACAUCGGAAUCUACUUUUUCGUGGGGGAUAACGUAGGGAAACUUACGCUAAUACCGCAUACGACCUACGGGUGAAAGCAGGGGAUCUUCGGACCUUGCGCGAUUGAAUGAGCCGAUGUCGGAUUAGCUAGUUGGCGGGGUAAAGGCCCACCAAGGCGACGAUCCCUAGCUGGUCUGAGAGGAUGAUCAGCCACACUGGAACUGAGACACGGUCCAGACUCCUACGGGAGGCAGCAGUGGGGAAUAUUGGACAAUGGGCGCAAGCCUGAUCCAGCCAUACCGCGUGGGUGAAGAAGGCCUUCGGGUUGUAAAGCCCUUUUGUUGGGAAAGAAAAGCAUCAGGUUAAUACCCCGCUGUUCUGACGGUACCCAAAGAAUAAGCACCGGCUAACUUCGUG
Molecule: ribosomal RNA, 492 nt
Filed under: uncultured bacterium
Lineage: Bacteria
Description: partial 16S ribosomal RNA
Rfam family: Bacterial small subunit ribosomal RNA
Source: RNAcentral